AGACCUACAAGUCGAGCAGGGUCGAAAGACGGACUUAGUGAUCCGGUGGUUCCGCAUGGAAGGGCCAUCGCUCAACGGAUAAAAGCUACCCCGGGGAUAACAGGCUUAUCUCCCCCAAGAGUUCACAUCGACGGGGAGGUUUGGCACCUCGAUGUCGGCUCAUCGCAUCCUGGGGCUGUAGUCGGUCCCAAGGGUUGGGCUGUUCGCCCAUUAAAGCGGUACGCGAGCUGGGUUCAGAACGUCGUGAGACAGUUCGGUCCCUAUCCGUCGUGGGCGUAGGAAAUUUGAGAGGAGCUGUCCUUAGUACGAGAGGACCGGGAUGGACAUACCUCUGGUGUACCAGUUGUCGUGCCAACGGCAUAGCUGGGUAGCUAUGUGUGGACGGGAUAAGUGCUGAAAGCAUCUAAGCAUGAAGCCCCCCUCAAGAUGAGAUUUCCCAACUUCGGUUAUAAGAUC
This 456-nucleotide ribosomal RNA is filed under the name Escherichia coli. RNAcentral's name for it is "partial 23S ribosomal RNA". It matches the Rfam family "Bacterial large subunit ribosomal RNA", at positions 2378 to 2835 of the family's 2925-position model. Lineage: Bacteria; Pseudomonadati; Pseudomonadota; Gammaproteobacteria; Enterobacterales; Enterobacteriaceae. The record is from RNAcentral.